Non-coding RNA from Cercocebus atys (sooty mangabey), 5533 nucleotides. Lineage: Eukaryota; Metazoa; Chordata; Mammalia; Primates; Cercopithecidae. The record is from the annotation of a RefSeq genome assembly.
UCCAGCUGUGUCUUCACGGACCUUCCUGUGCCUACCCAUGGUGGAAGGGGGGGAGGAGGUGUGGGCCUUUGAGCUUCACUAGAGGCCUGAGGGAGCAGAGGUGCUCCCCAAGACCUUGACUCCUUCCCUCACCCUCCUCCCAUCACUCUCCUCACUGUAGCUAUGGCCAGGUGAGGGCACAGGGAGACUUCAGGACCUUGCUCAGCCCAGGGCAUCAGAUAAAAAUACUUAGAAAACGAUUGCCCACUCAGGCUUUGAGGGGAGGCUGAGCCUCACUCUCAGGCCAAAACAAUUGGGGGAUUUCAAGGGAAUUUGAUUGUACUGAAGUUCCCAGACUCUGCCAUCUAAGACUUAUGCCCUCUUAGCAGAGCCCAGCACUGAUACCAAAAUGGAUCAAGGCUAAUAGAUAAGCCUAGAAUAUUCUAGCUGGCACCGACUUGUGGAAAAGACAAGUAAAAAAAUGGAUGCAAUAAGAUGGCAUCCUACAGCGAGGAGGGGUGAGCUUGGGUGGGGGAGGGUAGAGGAGCCAUUAGAGGGUUGGACAAGGAGGACACAGGAUCUGAGGUAAGUUUCUGAGGACAAUUCCAGAUGCUUCAGAGAAGAUGAACAAGGGAGUAGGAAGUGUGACGGCCAUGGGACCAGAUGGGGCCACUGGGAGAGAGUGGUCAGAUUCAGCACCGGUGUCUGGGGAGGAGGGACCGAAGCCUGGGGGAGGGGAGAGUGCAAGGCGGGCCUUAGGACCUGAGAGGGACGCAGUGAUCACACUGCUGAGGGGUCCUUCAAGCGCAAGGGGGCUGCAGGAAGGCUGGAUGUCAUUGUCACAAUGAAAACUUAGACAACAGCUCCCCAGCCUUGUUCAAAGUCAUCACACGCCUUUCUCCUCUCCACAUGGCAACAGGCAGAGGAAAACUUAUCUCUGAGAUAUGUAAGAUGUUAGUUCUCCAUAACCUCUCCUGUCCCCUGACUGAAUUCCUAUUUGGAAACAAAAUGACUCUCCAGUUUUAUGUACGACAUCUUCACUUUUUAGUUCCAGAAUGAGAAAGAUCUCCCCUCCCUGACCCACUGGUGAGGAAUCUCAGCCUUCAAGACAACUGGACUAUAUAACUGCCAUCUCCCAUGACAGCAUCAUGGUGACCAGGGAGACUAUCUGACCAGCCACACACUGCCUGUCCCUAACAUUGCAGCUGAGGACCCUUACAUGCUGAACCCAUGGCUGGGAGAUCUGGGGUCCAGACAAGACAGGAAAAGGAAAAAGACCAGGAGCUCUGCCUAAGCAGCCCCACUGUGUGAAUCACUGCACCCUCCACCCUCAUCUUUAGUUCAUGAUGGGUGUUGUCUUGUGAAAACUGACAGCUGGGCUGAGACACAGGCAAGAGUGUCUCAGUCUCAAAAAACUCCAUCUUGGGCUCUCUGACUUUUCUGAUAUUCUUUUCACAGAUCAAUUCCGGGCCAAGACACAUCAUUCCCAUCAAGGAGGCAUUGAUAGGAGAAUCAGGCAGCCUCAGGAGAGACAAGAAGCAGAUAAACACCCUCAUGUUGGCCUCCUAAGUUCAGAGGAGAAACAAAGGGGAAAGAAGCUCAAGAAGCCACACUAGAUGUCACUGAUCACCAUCACCUCAGCACCUGUCCUCCAUCUAGCCCUCUUUCAAGAGAGGACCAGACUCAGGGAACAGCACCUGCACCUCCCCCUCUGUCCCUGCACUGCAUAGGGAGCCUCCUUCUGCUCUCAUCUCAAGGUGGCUGCUCCACGAGGUCAGCUUUGUCACUGCUGAGAGUCUUCCCUUGGUCCUGGUCCCAGGGUCUGGGGUCAACGGCAACCUGGUGUUGACUCAGCUGUGACCCUGCCCCUUCAGGACACAAAGCCAAUUAAACUAUUAAAGUCAUAACUGAACUUCCUAGUUUACCCAAACUUUAGAUUCUCCUUCUCAGUGUCCUUCUAGAAAGUGCUGUCUAUAUCAAAUAAUAACGUGUUAUUUCCUCAGGUGUAGAGCCAUUUGAUUUCCAAAAUUCUGUACUUAAACUUAUGUUCUCAUUUCCUGUCAUGGCUCAUUUUCCACUCAGCAGCUAAUGAUGUGAACCAUGUAUCUACGGCCCAUUGUCACAAAAAAGAGAGAUGGGAGGGUUCUUAAAUAAAUAGAGGGUUAGAAAAGAAGAGUUUCAUUACCUCUUAGGAAUUACUCCAAGAGCCAAGAAAAUUAAUUCCAGAGCUUCAAGAGUUUACUCCUCAAAAACAACAGCAUGAAUACAUUAGGUAGUGAAUGUUCUUGGUCUUCUCAAUGAAUAACCUCUGAAAGGUCCAGAGUAUAUGUGUCAAAAAGGUAUGUGCAUAACUCUCAUAAUAAUGUAGUAUUAAUUUAUGUCAACAAUUUUAAUGGGUAUAUAUUUCUGGAAAAAAAAGCAGUAUGAUGGUAAAAGAAAUGUAAAAAGCCUUUUAAAACCACAGUGCUUAUAGUCCCCCAGGAUAGCACCUGUGAAGCAAAUUUUUUUUUUUUUUGCUGAAGAUGCACUGUCUUUUAGAAAAUAGCAAGAUAGUUUAAAUUUGUCUUCUUCUCUCACAACGCUCUAAAAAUUAACAUCAUCCCAUUUAUAUGAAAUAUCUAGAAAUAUACCCCUACAUGUGGACAUUCCCAUCAGACAUCUCCCAUCCAGGCUCUCCUAAGGUGGAAUCUCCUCUUUUUCUGCCCAUGUUCUCCCCCUCUCCACCUCUCUCCUGCUGACACGUGGCUCUUCCCUGUCUUCCUCUCCAGUGACCCCAGCAGAUCAGGGCCAACCAGUGAACAAGCUCCUGGACUUGGGGAACAAAAGUGCAUCUUCUUGGAUUUCUGAGGACUUGCCCUGCCACGGUGUCUUUCUCAAUCACAGUCACUCCUUCUUGGGAACCCACUUCUCCUAGAUCCUGUUAUUUAUCUAAUGUUAUUCAUCUGUAUCUACUUGGUGGAUGUCCCUACAUCUUCACCUGAACCCCGGAAAUCUUCAGGUCAUGCCCACAUUUCCUUUGUUUUCCUGUACUCCCUUCUUCCUUCUUCCCCUGUGAUCACACCUAGUCAAGAUCUCUUCUCGGACCCUGGAGUGCAGCAGGGACUUCUCUGAUCUCUGCCCCAGAGAUUAAGGGAGUGGAAGGGAGGACUUCUGUGCCCCUCCUAUGCCUGUGUUUUCAUCAGCGCAGCUGCACAAGGUAGGGAUUAGGCUGUCUAGAUCAACAUGGCAAAUCCAACCCUGCGCUCUAUGCUCCGCAAAAGAUACGUGCUCAUAACUAUUUGACAGAAACCUUCCUCUUAUCACAUCAGUCCCAGGAUGGGGCUGACCUGGGAGAGGUAGCUGUGGACCUGCUCCUCACGGUGCCCUCACCGAAGAGCUCAUGGGGCAUCCACCAGGAAGAGCAUUCCUGGGCAGGGAAGGGGUCAUGGGCAGCCUUGUUCUGCAUGUGAGGCAUGGCUCAGUGCAGUCAGAAGAUCCAGAUGACUAUGACUGCAAUUCUGGGGAAGUAAAGAGUGAAGAACCAGAAUAACCCUCUGGGAAUGUGCCCUGGGCAUCCUAGAGGGAAGAGCUUCCCUCCUACUCAGUGCUGCAGGAUCCACAGAAGAAGGAGAGCUCUGGACGCCAGGGAGGAGCCACAUGAGAUGAGAGGACCCGGUGGCCCUACAUGUGGGAAAGUGAUCCAUGAAAGUUGAUCCUUGCUCUGGGUUUGAUUCUGUCCUAUGAGGACAUUGUGUAGUCACCACCUGAGUCCUCUAUAAUAAACAGUGAGAGCGCCGCAGACAGUUUCACUCGUGAGGAGCCCAGUAAAGUGGGAGAACUGCCCUGAGGUCACAGGGAGAAGACCUCAGGCACCACCUGGCCUGGCCCUGAGCCGGGGCAUUGGACAGAACAGCGGGGAGGCAGCAGUGUCUCUGGAGGCUCUGGUCACCUUAUCAUACAACGGUUUGUCUUGGUCUGGACACCAGGGGGCGCUUGGGGACCAUUCCUGAGAAGACUGGGGGUGAUCAGAGCAGAACCAGCCACCUGCCCUGCCUGGUGUCCUCUGCUCAGGGCUCACAGCUGCAUCCUCCCCACCCACUGGGACCACACAGCCCUGCCCCUGCCACCCCCUGACAUCCUCAGGCAUAGGGACCUGACCCAGGGCCCAGGGUGGGAUUAGAAAGCUGGGGACCUGAUUUGCAUGGAUGGACCCUCCCACUCUCAGAGUAUGAAGAGGGGCAGGGAGAGAUUUGGGGAAGCUCUGCUUCAGCUGUGGGCACAGGAGGCAGCACUCAGGACAGUUUCCAGCAUGGCCUGGUCUCCUCUCCUCCUCACCCUUCUCAUUCACUGCACAGGGUCCUGGGCCCAGUCUGUGCUGACGCAGCCGCCCUCAGUGUCUGGGGACCCCGGACAGAGGGUCACCAUCUCGUGCACUGGGAGCAGCUCCAACAUUGGAGGUUAUGAUGUACACUGGUACCAGCAGGUCCCAGGAACAGCCCCCAAACUGCUCAUCUAUGACAAUAAUAAGCGACCCUCAGGGGUUUCUGACCGAUUCUCUGGCUCCAAGUCUGGUACCUCAGGCUCCCUGACCAUCACUGGACUCCAGUCUGGGGAUGAGGCUGAUUAUUACUGCCAGUCCUAUGACAGCAGCCUGAGUGCUCACACAGUGCUCCAGGCCUGGAGGGAACUGAGACAAGAACCCCCUUCCUCCUCUGCCAGGAGGGUGAGCACUCAGCUGCUGCUCACGCCUGACCUGUAGCUUCUGCUGCUGUAACUUCCCCCAUGGGCCUAGGGGCAGCCAGGGCCCUGCCUAGGAGUGGAAACUCCCCGACCUUUGUCCUCAGAGUCAGGAACAGGGCCUCCAGGAAACAGAAUAUCCUGCUCCCGCAGUUUGAGGCACAGGGUCUCUGUACUGAAAUCCUGGGCCUAGGUGGCAGGUCCACCUGUGUCUUCACAGACCCUCCUGUGCCUGCCCAUGGUGUGGGGAGGGGGUGAGGAGGUGUGGGCCUUUCGCUUCACUAGAGGCCUGGGGGAACAGAGUUGCUCCCCAAGACCUGGACUCCUCCUCUCACCCUCCUCUCAUUGCUCUCCUCACUGUAGCUAUGGCCAGGUGAGGGCUCAAGGCUACCUGAAAACCUUGCUCAGCCCAGGGCCUCCAUCGCAGGCAUUGUUUCCAAACUCUGUAAGCGCUGUCUCUGAAUCUGUAGAAACAUUUAUUUCUAUGUGCCCAGGACAGGGUUAGAGGGCACCAACCCCACCCCUUGCAAACUGCUCAUCACCUCUCCAAGCCCCAAUGAGGAGAAGAAAGAGUCAGAAAUCAGAAGCCUACCCAAGGCUCCCCUCUCUCCUCUCUCCCAGCCACCCCCUGGCUUCCUCCUUCCACAGAAAUAAAGAGGAGGCAGCCACAGAGGGCAAGGAGAGGCCCAGGCAUUAUACUAGGCAGCAGAGCGAGGCAUUCUUCCCAGAUGAUGGUGGGAGGUGAUGGAGGUGUCUGAGACCACAAAAUAGUCAGGACCUACCGGGCGCGGUGGCUCACUUGUGUAAUCCCAGCCCUUUGGGAGGCCUAGGCAGUCGG